Small nuclear RNA from Carlito syrichta (Philippine tarsier), 104 nucleotides. NCBI's taxonomy places the organism in Eukaryota, Metazoa, Chordata, Mammalia, Primates, Tarsiidae. The record is from Ensembl.
GUGCUCACUUCAGCAGCACAUAUACUAAAACUGAAAUAAUACAGAGAUUAGCAAGACCCCUGUGCAAUAAUGACACCCAAAUUUGUGAAGUGUUCCAUAUUUUU